UUACAGAACAUUCUAUCUGUUGUGAUGGAUAACAUCAUACACUUCAGAAUCAGUUUGCUGAAAAUAAAAAGUAAGUUUUUGGAAAAAUAGAUUUUCCUUUUUCUUAUUCACAGAAAUUUUAAACUAUAAAAAGUCUUCGAGUGAAUAAUGUACACGUGUAUUAUUUAAGACAUACAGGUGCUAUCUGUAAAGUAAAACCAACAAGUCAGUUUUUAUGUUGACCAGCUGGGAAAUGUUGUUUUAGCUUUUCUUACACAAUUAUGCGCAUAUUACUUGCUUUUAUGAGUUACUCCAGUUCUUUUUUUUUUUUUUUUUUUUUUUUUGCCCCUUUAUUUUCCGGAAAUCAUCUUGAAAUCAAACCUUACUGGAAACACAUGGAAAAUCAGGAAUUUCCAGCCUACAGUAAUUUGAAACAUUUGAGGUCUUUAUUUUUCCCUUCAUGGAGGCAAAUUUAAGAAAAAAUUUCAAAUUCCUUAAUGAGUAGUAAUUGUAGUAGGUAGGAGUUGCUGUUCUAUAGCAACAAUUGUUAUUGUUGUUGUUGUUUUAAUUCAGGUUUCAUGGUAACAACACCUUGCUCAAGCUCCAGAAUAUUACAGUCUUCUUUGAAAGGAUUCGAUCUCUCCAUGUUAAAUGUAUUUACCUUAUUCUGGUCAGUAAAGUAAGAAGAGGAAAUUAGUCUAAACAAAGUUGAUAGACACCAAUUGGUUACUGUUUCACUCCCCACUGGGCAGGAAGGAAAUGGACAAGGUGACUGGGGAGUCAACAAGCUUUCCUCUCGCUUACCAUGCUGAGGUCACUGCAAGUUGCUUAGAUGAUUUAAGAAAGACACUCAGUAUCCUUUUUUUCAUGGCUGUCCAUAGGCUAAUACAUAUCUUUCUAACACACAUCUGUCCCAGUCAGGCACUAACAGAUGGAAAAGCAGAUGAUCCUACACACAGAUAGGUGUUCAGAUGAAGGCACUGAAGUUUUUAGUUACUUUCUUUUACUUAGGAGGUGAUGCUCAUCCUAUACCUCUCUUUCUGUCUCCAGAAUCAUUUUGGAAACAUGAAAUGAGACUGCCUGAAUGACGAUUUGAUUCUACAUCGCAGGAAGAACCCUACCUGUCAAUCACCAUCAACUCAACUGAGCCUCCCACAGUCGCUGAAACACUCCAGAAUCCCAGCAAGAUUGCUACAUCUGGGGGGGGGGGGACGCUUGGGUAGCUCAGUUGGUUAAUUUUGGCUCAGGUCAUGAUCUCUUGGCUGUGAGUUCAAGCCCCGCAUGGGAUUCUCUCUCUCUCUCUCUCCCUCUCUCUCUCUCUUUGCCCCUCCCCUGCGCAUGUUCUCUCUGUCUCUCUAAAUAAAGAAAUACAUAUAAAAAUAAAAGAUUGCUACCUCUGAUCGCUGAAAAUAGGAGCAGAUGAGCCUCAGGCAGCAGAAGAGACAGGGAAGUAGAGACUGAUUGAUUUAUCUAGUUCAGGGAACUGUUCCUUGACCACAUUUUCCUGCAUUCUUCCCAAAAGCUAGACUCCUGCUUUUGUUUUUCUCAUUUCAGGAUCUUCUUCCAACCCAUCUACACCCUUUCCAGUCUAGGUAAGUGAUGAAACCAUGAUUCCCCUUGUCCUUCAGGAAUGGGGGACAUCAAAUUUUUAGAGAACAGAUCUGGGUAGGAAAGGAUAAAGUUGUCACUCAGUAAGACUCAAACCUGUGUUUUAAAUCAUCCUGUCAAGGGGAGUCCUCACCAGAUCUGCCCACAAAGGUUAUCACAUCCUUGAUGGCCCAUGUCAGCUGAAGCCCAGAUGAUUUAGGGGACUCUGUUGAGUGAUACCUGAAAGGUUUCUUUUUGACUCAUUACUUUAGAAUUAUUUACCAGUCGUUGGAUGUGAAUUACUGAACACACACUGACAUGUGAUUGUGUAAUCUCUAGCCUGGUUCUCUGCAUCUCGGAUCUUCAUUUAUUUCUGCCACUGCAUCGAUCAAGUUGUCAUCAUUUCAUUACACCUGGUAGUGUAUGAGGUGGCGUUCUUUGAGGAAAGUUGGAUGAGGAAAACGGUGCAUAUUAAAACGGAAAAGACUGGAGGCACUUUCAGAGGGAAACUGUCAGUCGGGGACGGCACAGAGAAAGCCUCUCGGGUGUAUUCCACAGAUACACUCUAUGGAACCUGCAGAAAAUUUAAAAAUGACUUAAAAAAAUUGCUGAUGGAGGGUUAAACAGCAGAGGAUCCCGUGGCCUCUCUGUUAGCUCCCAGCUAAACAGGUUACCCUCCAAGAAAUGCACAACGAUGUCUUGAGACUAUGAGGUGUCUUGGAGUUUUAUUUUUCCUUCGCCGCAUUUGAUUGUAAACCUUGUUUUGCCUUUGAUCACUGACAGGUCUCACGGCUGGGUCCCUCCUACACAAGUCAAUUUUGGCAUGCUGAAUGUAGUUCAGUGUCUCAGAAUUAUUCUUGUCUUUCCCCCUUCCUUCCACA
RNAcentral lists this long non-coding RNA (2447 nucleotides) under Lynx pardinus (Iberian lynx). The record is from RNAcentral. Lineage: Eukaryota; Metazoa; Chordata; Mammalia; Carnivora; Felidae.